Molecule: ribosomal RNA, 484 nt
Filed under: uncultured bacterium
Lineage: Bacteria
Description: partial 16S ribosomal RNA
Rfam family: Bacterial small subunit ribosomal RNA
Source: RNAcentral
AUUGAACGCUGGCGGCAUGCUUUACACAUGCAAGUCGAACGGCAGCGCGGGCUUCGGCCUGGCGGCGAGUGGCGAACGGGUGAGUAAUACAUCGGAACGUGCCCAGUAGUGGGGGAUAGCUCGGCGAAAGCCGGAUUAAUACCGCAUACGACCUGAGGGUGAAAGCGGGGGAUCUUCGGACCUCGCGCUCUUGGAGCGGCCGAUGGCCGAUUAGCUAGUUGGUGGGGUAAAGGCCUACCAAGGCGGCGAUCUGUAGCUGGUCUGAGAGGACGACCAGCCACACUGGGACUGAGACACGGCCCAGACUCCUACGGGAGGCAGCAGUGGGGAAUUUUGGACAAUGGGCGAAAGCCUGAUCCAGCAAUGCCGCGUGUGUGAUGAAGGCCUUCGGGUUGUAAAGCACUUUUGGCGGGAACGAAAAGGACUGUGCCAAUACCACGGUUCGAUGACGGUACCCGCAGAAUAAGCACCGGCUAACUACGUG